Molecule: transfer RNA, 87 nt
Filed under: Chitinophaga arvensicola
Lineage: Bacteria; Pseudomonadati; Bacteroidota; Chitinophagia; Chitinophagales; Chitinophagaceae
Description: tRNA_Leu_CAA
Rfam family: tRNA
About the family: Transfer RNA (tRNA) molecules are approximately 80 nucleotides in length. Their secondary structure includes four short double-helical elements and three loops (D, anti-codon, and T loops). Further hydrogen bonds mediate the characteristic L-shaped molecular structure. tRNAs have two regions of fundamental functional importance: the anti-codon, which is responsible for specific mRNA codon recognition, and the 3' end, to which the tRNAs corresponding amino acid is attached (by aminoacyl-tRNA synthetases). tRNAs cope with the degeneracy of the genetic code in two manners: having more than one tRNA (with a specific anti-codon) for a particular amino acid; and 'wobble' base-pairing, i.e. permitting non-standard base-pairing at the 3rd anti-codon position.
Source: RNAcentral
GCCCGGAUGGCGGAAUUGGUAGACGCGCUAGACUCAAAAUCUUGUUUUCGCAAGGGAGUGCAGGUUCGAUUCCUGUUCCGGGCACCU